Triticum aestivum (bread wheat) is the source of this 1311-nucleotide long non-coding RNA. RefSeq lists it as uncharacterized. The transcript is spliced from 6 exons. Lineage: Eukaryota; Viridiplantae; Streptophyta; Magnoliopsida; Poales; Poaceae. The record is from RefSeq and is a predicted model, not a curated record.
CUCGCGCGCUGCCUCUCCUCUUCCUCCCGCCCGCCUCUCUCUCUCCCUCCAAACCCUAACCCUAAACUGCGCCCGCCUUCCUGUCCCGCCGGCCGCCGCCGUCGCUCGCCCAGGCACCCGCCCCGCACUCGGCGCCGGCGCCGUCGCCCCCUCUCCUCUUCCUCCCGCCCGUGCCUCACCGCGGCUUCCUCCCGGCUCCUCGUCCGCGGCCUCGACGGCGGCCCCGUGCUCUACCUCGAGGCGCGCCACGCUGGCCGGGUGCGCUACGUGCUCUCCUGGGACGCCAGCCGCCGCAUCUGCGUCUUCACCGAGAACGGCAUGCGUCCGUCACCCGUGCGGAUAGGACUCCUCCUCUUCCCUAUCUCGGGGGCGCGGAGAUGCUAACGGAGAAGCCCAGCUGGGUUCGCCAUGACGGCCUGCAGAUCUUCUCCAUCAACAUCCAGCCGAGUGGCCUCCGCUUCGCCACGGGAGGUGGUGACCAGAAGGAGGCAGAGAGGGAGAUGGGGUGGUAAGAAGAGAGGGUGAGGAAGGAGGAAGAGGAGAUCCUCCCAGCACUCAUGGUGGUCGCCCAGAUCCCAGCGGGGAUGGCAGUCCAACAUGCUCUGUGGUGUUCUAAAGUGUAAACUGCUAGCAGAGCUACACUGCGGACUACAGAGUUGAUCUGAAUGUCUGCUAUUCUAAGGUUCAAUAUAUGAUUCUUUCUGUCAGCGUUCUUCCUUGGAAACAAAAUGAUCAAAUCAUCUUCUUGGAUGCAUGUGUGGCUUGAUUAUGAAAUUAUGGUUAUGAACACAAAGCUAAUUGGUACUCUGUUCUACACUACUCUCCCUUGGAACAUGAUCUCGCAAAAGAGGGGAAGCCAAACAUAGAUGGAACCAAAAAUCUUCGGAACCUGACAGCAUUCAUUUUUUCUCCUGGGUGCUGCUAGAUCCUGUGUAACUAAAUGUUCUUUUCCAUUUAAGGGGAACCAUGCCCAUGCGACGGUACUGAACAAAGUUGUGCACGUGGUCGUGGACACUCUACGCGAAAGAAAUUUGUAUAAAUAUACAAUGCUCUUUUUGAAGCCUCCUGGGAUGAUAUUGGAAGGAACUCGAGCGGAAGGCCGCCGGACAUGGAAGAAAUGAGCCCAAGCCCAAUGUAACUUUUCUCUCUCUGAAGCAAUGCCUAUUUAUUGCUUUUGUGUUGGUACUUUCAGUUCUUUGAGAUUCUUAUUUGUGCAAAAACAUCGGUGAUGUGGCAGAGAAGGUGAAUUGUAGCAGCAACGUGAAAGUAUGUACAUAACAAUUUGUUGGAAAUAUGCCCUAGAGGCAAUAA